Molecule: long non-coding RNA, 756 nt
Filed under: Olea europaea (common olive)
Lineage: Eukaryota; Viridiplantae; Streptophyta; Magnoliopsida; Lamiales; Oleaceae
Description: long non-coding RNA (OEUR_LNC011405)
Source: RNAcentral
GGGGGUGGUGGGUGCAGGAAGGUUUUAACAUUAAUAUAGGUUUACAUGAAUCCAUGAUAGACGUAUGCAUCAUGUGAAAUUGAAUAAGAUCCCACUGGAAUGUACAACACACACUAAAUCAACUAUACAUUUUAAUGAUAUGGACUUCUCCACAUUGAUUCUGAUCUCAAAAGUCAUUAAGCCCUUGUUUGGUUUGGCUAAAAAUCGGAUUUUUAGUAGAUUUUGAUAAAAGUUGAUAAAAUUCGUGGUUGAAAAAUUAAUAAAGGUUGUGGAUCCUAUAAAAUGUUUGGGCAAAAUGCAUUUUAAAAAUUGGGGCCAAACAGUGGCUAAAUUUGAAUUACAAUUGCAUUAAAAAAUACAAUCAGGUAUACAUCAUUGACAAAUAAAUUUUCAAUUCAGUGAUUGGUAAAUUUUUCCGGGAGCUGAAAUGGAAAUGUGAGUUGGCAAAAUCAUGGUAGAACCUGAGCUACUUAAAUUCUAAAUAAUGGGGAAUCUGUUCAAGAAAAUCUAUGCAAGCAUUUCUUUCCUCGUAUCUUGAUGAGUUCUAGUGAGAUCCACCAUAGACACAUACAAAGAGAAUCAAAGCUAAUAAACCAACUAUUUUCUUCUUAUCCUUUGUGCUUAAUCAAGGAAAUUGACAGAGCACAGCACUGUUAUGAUCAAAGCAACUUACAACAUUGAACAAUGCUGGGUCUUCAUUAAAAUAUUCAAGUGCCUUGUCUCCACUGGAUGAAGAAAAAGAGAAAAAGAAAAUAU